Molecule: ribosomal RNA, 475 nt
Filed under: Streptomyces sp. 313C08
Lineage: Bacteria; Bacillati; Actinomycetota; Actinomycetes; Kitasatosporales; Streptomycetaceae
Description: bacterial SSU rRNA
Rfam family: Bacterial small subunit ribosomal RNA
Source: RNAcentral
UAGUGGCGAACGGGUGAGUAACACGUGGGCAAUCUGCCCUGCACUCUGGGACAAGCCCUGGAAACGGGGUCUAAUACCGGAUAAUACUGUGCCCCUCAUGGGGGACGGUUAAAAGCUCCGGCGGUGCAGGAUGAGCCCGCGGCCUAUCAGCUUGUUGGUGGGGUAAUGGCCUACCAAGGCGACGACGGGUAGCCGGCCUGAGAGGGCGACCGGCCACACUGGGACUGAGACACGGCCCAGACUCCUACGGGAGGCAGCAGUGGGGAAUAUUGCACAAUGGGCGAAAGCCUGAUGCAGCGACGCCGCGUGAGGGAUGACGGCCUUCGGGUUGUAAACCUCUUUCAGCAGGGAAGAAGCGAAAGUGACGGUACCUGCAGAAGAAGCGCCGGCUAACUACGUGCCAGCAGCCGCGGUAAUACGUAGGGCGCAAGCGUUGUCCGGAAUUAUUGGGCGUAAAGAGCUCGUAGGCGGUUUG